UGGGGAAUCGUCUAGUGGUAGGACAGCAGACUCUGACUCUGUAUGCCGAGGUUCGAAUCCUCGUUCCCCAGCCA
RNAcentral lists this transfer RNA (74 nucleotides) under Dehalococcoidia bacterium. RNAcentral describes it as "tRNA-Gln". It matches the Rfam family "tRNA". From Rfam's summary of the family: Transfer RNA (tRNA) molecules are approximately 80 nucleotides in length. Their secondary structure includes four short double-helical elements and three loops (D, anti-codon, and T loops). The record is from RNAcentral. Lineage: Bacteria; Bacillati; Chloroflexota; Dehalococcoidia.